RNAcentral lists this ribosomal RNA (558 nucleotides) under Lodderomyces parapsilosis. RNAcentral's name for it is "LSU rRNA". It matches the Rfam family "Eukaryotic large subunit ribosomal RNA", at positions 82 to 657 of the family's 3401-position model. The record is from RNAcentral. Lineage: Eukaryota; Fungi; Ascomycota; Pichiomycetes; Serinales; Debaryomycetaceae.
AGUAGCGGCGAGUGAGCGGCAAAAGCUCAAAUUUGAAAUCUGGCACUUUCAGUGUCCGAGUUGUAAUUUGAAGAAGGUAUCUUUGGGUCUGGCUCUUGUCUAUGUUUCUUGGAACAGAACGUCACAGAGGGUGAGAAUCCCGUGCGAUGAGAUGUCCCAGACCUAUGUAAAGUUCCUUCGAAGAGUCGAGUUGUUUGGGAAUGCAGCUCUAAGUGGGUGGUAAAUUCCAUCUAAAGCUAAAUAUUGGCGAGAGACCGAUAGCGAACAAGUACAGUGAUGGAAAGAUGAAAAGAACUUUGAAAAGAGAGUGAAAAAGUACGUGAAAUUGUUGAAAGGGAAGGGCUUGAGAUCAGACUUGGUAUUUUGUAUGUUACUCUCUCGGGGGUGGCCUCUACAGUUUACCGGGCCAGCAUCAGUUUGAGCGGUAGGAUAAGUGCAAAGAAAUGUGGCACUGCUUCGGUAGUGUGUUAUAGUCUUUGUCGAUACUGCCAGCUUAGACUGAGGACUGCGGCUUCGGCCUAGGAUGUUGGCAUAAUGAUCUUAAGUCGCCCGUCUUGA